RNAcentral lists this ribosomal RNA (476 nucleotides) under uncultured bacterium. RNAcentral describes it as "bacterial SSU rRNA". It matches the Rfam family "Bacterial small subunit ribosomal RNA", at positions 30 to 502 of the family's 1533-position model. The record is from RNAcentral.
AUUGAACGCUGGCGGCAGGCCUAACACAUGCAAGUCGAGCGGUAACAGAGAUAGCUUGCUAUCUGCUGACGAGCGGCGGACGGGUGAGUAAUGCUUGGGAAUAUGCCUUGAGGUGGGGGACAACAGUUGGAAACGACUGCUAAUACCGCAUAAUGUCUACGGACCAAAGGGGGCUUCGGCUCUCGCCUUUAGAUUGGCCCAAGUGGGAUUAGCUAGUUGGUGAGGUAAUGGCUCACCAAGGCGACGAUCCCUAGCUGGUUUGAGAGGAUGAUCAGCCACACUGGGACUGAGACACGGCCCAGACUCCUACGGGAGGCAGCAGUGGGGAAUAUUGCACAAUGGGCGCAAGCCUGAUGCAGCCAUGCCGCGUGUGUGAAGAAGGCCUUCGGGUUGUAAAGCACUUUCAGUCAGGAGGAAAGGUUAGUAGUUAAUACCUGCUAGCUGUGACGUUACUGACAGAAGAAGCACCGCUAACU